UUUGAACCCGGAUCAAUGAAUCAGUAUCAAUUUCUAAAAUUCUAAAAAUAAAAAAUUAAUACAUUUCCAAGCAAUAACACAUUCAGAUUCCAGAUUGUAAAUCAUUCAUAAACAAUACAAAUUUCUAAGCAAUAAGCCAAUAACACAUCCACUAAUUUAAAUCCAUAAAUUUCAAUGUUUCAAAUAAAAAAAUUAAAUCACUUCAACGAGCUUGUGAGAUGUGACGGUGGCGAACUGCGAACCCGAGGCUGCGACGGACGACGGUGGCGAAUCGGAUUGUUGUUUGGAGGUGCAAGAACCCGAGGCUGCGACGGUCGUGAACGAACCUGAGAGUACGAGUUGCGACGGAAGACGGUAGCGAGCCGCGAGCCCAAGCUUCUGAGUUCUGACGGUGGCGAAUCGCGAAGGCUGUUGGCUGCAAGAAGCUAAGAACUGAAGCUUGACUGCUUGACUGCGAAUCGCGAAGGCUGCUGGCUGCAAGAAGCUAAGAACCGAAGCUUGACUGUUAGGCUGCGAAUCACGAAGGCUGCUGGCUGCAAGAAGCUAAGAACCGAAGCAAGCUGCAAGUUGCG
RNAcentral lists this long non-coding RNA (572 nucleotides) under Citrus maxima (pomelo). RNAcentral's name for it is "long non-coding RNA (CMAX_LNC003054)". The record is from RNAcentral. Lineage: Eukaryota; Viridiplantae; Streptophyta; Magnoliopsida; Sapindales; Rutaceae.